AUUGAACGCUGGCGGCAUGCCUUACACAUGCAAGUCGAACGGCAGCAUGGAGAGCUUGCUCUCCGAUGGCGAGUGGCGAACGGGUGAGUAAUAUAUCGGAACGUGCCCAGUCGUGGGGGAUAACGUAGUGAAAAUUACGCUAAUACCGCAUACGAUCUAAGGAUGAAAGCGGGGGAUCGCAAGACCUCGCGCGAUUGGAGCGGCCGAUAUCAGAUUAGGUAGUUGGUAGGGUAAAGGCCUACCAAGCCAACGAUCUGUAGCUGGUCUGAGAGGACGACCAGCCACACUGGAACUGAGACACGGUCCAGACUCCUACGGGAGGCAGCAGUGGGGAAUUUUGGACAAUGGGCGAAAGCCUGAUCCAGCCAUUCCGCGUGCAGGAUGAAGGCCCUCGGGUUGUAAACUGCUUUUGUACAGAACGAAAAGGUCUCUAUUAAUACUAGGGGCUCAUGACGGUACUGUAAGAAUAAGCACCGGCUAACUACGUGCCAGCAGCCGCCGUAA
Molecule: ribosomal RNA, 504 nt
Filed under: uncultured bacterium
Lineage: Bacteria
Description: partial 16S ribosomal RNA
Rfam family: Bacterial small subunit ribosomal RNA
Source: RNAcentral